RNAcentral lists this ribosomal RNA (460 nucleotides) under uncultured bacterium. Its description in RNAcentral is "partial 16S ribosomal RNA". It matches the Rfam family "Bacterial small subunit ribosomal RNA", at positions 338 to 795 of the family's 1533-position model. The record is from RNAcentral.
CCUACGGGAGGCAGCAGUGAGGAAUAUUGGUCAAUGGCCGGAAGGCUGAACCAGCCAUGCCGCGUGAAGGUCAGUGCCCUAUGGGCGUUAAACUUCUUUUGUGCGGGAGCAAUAAUGGUCACGUGUGGCCAGACGAGAGUACCGUACGAAUAAGCAUCGGCUAACUCCGUGCCAGCAGCCGCGGUAAUACGGGGGAUGCAAGCGUUAUCCGGAGUUAUUGGGUUUAAAGGGUGCGUAGGCUGUGAGGUAAGUCAGCGGUGAAAUGCCCCCGCUCAACGGGGUGAAGUGCCAUUGAUACUGCCUGGCUGGAAUGCGGAUGACGUGGGAGGAAUGUGUGGUGUAGCGGUGAAAUGCAUAGAUAUCACACAGAACACCGAUUGCGAAGGCAUCUCACGGAUCCGCGAUUGACGCUGAUGCACGAAAGCGUGGGUAUCAAACAGGAUUAGAUACCCCAGUAGUC